GGCACUUUCAAGAGAGCACCAGCUGUGGUAGUAGUCAGGAGCUCUAGGCUUGCCCUAAGACGGCCAAGGCUCCCCUGUUUCUCAGGCCUCCAGACUGAAGCUGAAUUAUACCACCAGCUCUCCUCAGUCUCCAGUUUGCAGACAACAGAUCAUGGGACUUCUCAGCCUCCAUAAUCACAGGAGUCAAUUCCUCAUAAUAAAUCUGUCUGCCCCC
Molecule: long non-coding RNA, 214 nt
Filed under: Homo sapiens (human)
Lineage: Eukaryota; Metazoa; Chordata; Mammalia; Primates; Hominidae
Description: HSALNT0348075
Source: RNAcentral